AGGAGAAAUGGCUGAGUGGUCGAAAGCGACGGAUUGCUAAUCUGUUGAUUGCUUUUAGUCAAAAGCAAUCCAAGGGUUCGAAUCCCUUUUUCUCCG
RNAcentral lists this transfer RNA (96 nucleotides) under Caulerpa verticillata. Its description in RNAcentral is "tRNA-Ser". It matches the Rfam family "tRNA". From Rfam's summary of the family: Transfer RNA (tRNA) molecules are approximately 80 nucleotides in length. Their secondary structure includes four short double-helical elements and three loops (D, anti-codon, and T loops). Further hydrogen bonds mediate the characteristic L-shaped molecular structure. tRNAs have two regions of fundamental functional importance: the anti-codon, which is responsible for specific mRNA codon recognition, and the 3' end, to which the tRNAs corresponding amino acid is attached (by aminoacyl-tRNA synthetases). tRNAs cope with the degeneracy of the genetic code in two manners: having more than one tRNA (with a specific anti-codon) for a particular amino acid; and 'wobble' base-pairing, i.e. permitting non-standard base-pairing at the 3rd anti-codon position. The record is from RNAcentral. Lineage: Eukaryota; Viridiplantae; Chlorophyta; Ulvophyceae; Bryopsidales; Caulerpaceae.